CGGACCGGCGCACGGGUGAGUAACACGUAUGCAACCUGCCCUCUUCAGGGGGACAACCUUCCGAAAGGGAGGCUAAUCCCGCGUAUAUCGGUUUCGGGCAUCCGAGAUCGAGGAAAGAUUCAUCGGAAGAGGAUGGGCAUGCGGCGCAUUAGCUAGAUGGCGGGGUAACGGCCCACCGUGGCGACGAUGCGUAGGGGUUCUGAGAGGAAGGUCCCCCACACUGGUACUGAGACACGGACCAGACUCCUACGGAAGGCAGCAG
Molecule: ribosomal RNA, 262 nt
Filed under: uncultured bacterium
Lineage: Bacteria
Description: partial 16S ribosomal RNA
Rfam family: Bacterial small subunit ribosomal RNA
Source: RNAcentral